This 1020-nucleotide long non-coding RNA is filed under the name Gopherus agassizii (Agassiz's desert tortoise). Its description in RNAcentral is "lncRNA (ENSGAGG00000003543.1)". The record is from RNAcentral. Lineage: Eukaryota; Metazoa; Chordata; Testudines; Testudinidae.
ACAACCACCAGAAAAAGGGGGUGGGACCCGCCCAAACAAAAAAUGCCCCAAAUGUAACAAAGGCUUCCAUUGGGCUAAUCAGUGCCGCUCUACCCCCUCGGGAAACUCCCAGUCGGGCUCCCCUCGGGCCCCGGUCUAACCGAGGAAAAGAGCGGUUUCCCACCCCCUGCCACCUCUGGCAGUGCAAGCAUCAAUCUAAAAAAUGCACAAAACAUAAAUUCUCAGCUCCCCGGGGAGGUACUCCUAAUGCCCACUCAACUUCGGGGCCCCCUCCCUCCUGGAACGGUGGGGCUUGUGCUCCCCCGUUCUUCCGCUCACUAUAAAGGCAUUAUGACCGUCCCAGGGGUCAUUAAUGCUAAUUAUACUAGCACCAUCUAUGCCCAAUAUUGGGGGCAGCUUCCGCUGUCCCUCAAAAAAGGAAAGUCCUGGUCCCAAUUGUUAUUGCUUCCUUACCAUUGUCCUGCAGUUUCCCUACAGAAACGUACAGGGGGAUUUGGCUCCACACGCGCUGACCCCCUGCAACCCACCACCGGCAAAAAGGUAACACCUGACUCAACUUACCACCCUCAGGUCGCCGCCGUGCUCCAACACAUUCACAAUCGUAAGCCUACCUGUUCUUAUCAAAUCCACGGUGCAAGGAGGAACUCCCCGCCCCGAAAGUGACGUAUCGGCAACUCCCCGGCACUACGUGGAGUGCCCCAGUUCCUUUGAUAACCUGGGGGCGGGGAUACGCGGCCGUCAGCAUGCCACAAGGACCGGUGUGGGUCCCAGCUCGUUACAUACGUCCGUGGAAGGAGGACCCCACCAGCGACCCACAGCAUGGCGUGGCACCAGGGCCUUAGCAAUCCCAUUCCUGAUUUUAACCCGUUGAUAACUACAACAGUGACUUUGUCUCAAGAGCGAUACCGCGGUCCUCCCAAUNAAAGAAAUCCCCGAAGAACUUUUUACUUGCCCUCAUUGCUUGUUUAAAUGCUAAUUCUUGUGUUUUAUUGAGCAUAAUAAUAUUUGUUGUUUGUCUAC